CCGCAUUCUAAUUUCUAACCCUUCAUGCUAUGUAAAACAGCUUUGUAAUCCCACAUUUUUGUCCCUUAUAACUAAACAAUGAUUAGUUAAUCAUCAUUAUACAUAACAGGAUGCACAGUAAAAAUGUUAUGGACUUUGGUACCACUAAAAUAUUUCUGCUUAUGAAGUCUGUUGGCAGACCACAUUCCAGAGGAAAUCAGCCCUCCCUCACCCAUGCAUGUAUUAAACAUGUAAUCCUGUAUUAAACAUGUCUAACCGCU
Non-coding RNA from Pelobates cultripes (western spadefoot toad), 260 nucleotides. The record is from the annotation of a GenBank genome assembly. Lineage: Eukaryota; Metazoa; Chordata; Amphibia; Anura; Pelobatidae.